RNAcentral lists this ribosomal RNA (253 nucleotides) under uncultured bacterium. RNAcentral's name for it is "partial 16S ribosomal RNA". It matches the Rfam family "Bacterial small subunit ribosomal RNA", at positions 524 to 776 of the family's 1533-position model. The record is from RNAcentral.
UACGAAGGGGGCUAGCGUUGUUCGGAAUUACUGGGCGUAAAGCGCACGUAGGCGGACAUUUAAGUCAGGGGUGAAAUCCCAGAGCUCAACUCUGGAACUGCCUUUGAUACUGGGUGUCUUGAGUCCGGAAGAGGUGAGUGGAAUUCCGAGUGUAGAGGUGAAAUUCGUAGAUAUUCGGAGGAACACCAGUGGCGAAGGCGGCUCACUGGUCCGGUACUGACGCUGAGGUGCGAAAGCGUGGGGAGCAAACAGG